CAUAGAAUCUUAUAGAUUUAGAUAUAUAUCGGUUAUGGAUGAGCUUGCGGGGUAUUAGGUAGUUGGUGUGGUAAUGGCGCACCAAGCCCAAGAUGCCUAGCCGGUUUGAGAGAACGAUCGGCCACACUGGGACUGAGACACGGCCCAGACGCUUACGAGCGGCAGCAGUGGGGAAUAUUGGACAAUGGGCGAAAGCCUGAUCCAGUGAUAUCGCUUUGGGGAUGACGGCGACAUACGUUGUAAACCCAAUGAAGUACGUUUAGAUUAUGACCGUAGGUAUUUUAGAAGUCCCGG
Molecule: ribosomal RNA, 294 nt
Filed under: uncultured Alphaproteobacteria bacterium
Lineage: Bacteria; Pseudomonadati; Pseudomonadota; Alphaproteobacteria
Description: partial 16S ribosomal RNA
Rfam family: Bacterial small subunit ribosomal RNA
Source: RNAcentral